UAGCAGCACAUAAUGGUUUG
This 20-nucleotide non-coding RNA is filed under the name Xenopus tropicalis (tropical clawed frog). The record is from RNAcentral. Lineage: Eukaryota; Metazoa; Chordata; Amphibia; Anura; Pipidae. RNAcentral also lists the same sequence under 2 other names.